This 199-nucleotide ribosomal RNA is filed under the name Gambierdiscus australes. RNAcentral describes it as "partial Bacterial large subunit ribosomal RNA". It matches the Rfam family "Bacterial large subunit ribosomal RNA", at positions 1 to 202 of the family's 2925-position model. The record is from RNAcentral. Lineage: Eukaryota; Dinophyceae; Gonyaulacales; Pyrocystaceae.
GUCAAGUGAAUAAGCGCACAUGGUGGAUGCCUUGGCGAUAAGAGGCGAUGAAGGGCGUAGAAGUCUGCGAUAAGCGUAGGUUAGCUGACAAACGAGCUAUAACCCUGCGAUUCCCGAAUGGGGCAACCCACUUACCUUUGGUAAGUAUCCUUAAGUGAAUACAUAGCUUAAGGAGGCGAACCCGGCGAACUGAAACAUC